GCUUUACUGUAGCCUGGAAUUGGGUUCGGGCUUUAACUGCGCAGGAUAGGUGGGAGGCUAUGAUGCAAUGCUUGUGGCAUUGUGGAGCCAACGGUGAGAUACCACUCUGUUAAGGCUAGAAUUCUAACUUGUGCCGUUAUCCGGACGAGAACAGUUUCAGGUGGGCAGUUUGACUGGGCGGUCGCCUCCUAAAUGGUAACGGAGGCGCGCAAAGGUUCUCUCAGGCUGGUUGGAAAUCAGCCGUAGAGUGUAAAAGCACAAGAGAGCUUGACUGUGAGACGAACAUGUCGAGCAGGACGAAAGUCGGCUUUAGUGAUCCGACGCGCUGCGUGGAAAGGCCGUCGCUAAACGGAUAAAAGUUA
This 362-nucleotide ribosomal RNA is filed under the name uncultured alga. Its description in RNAcentral is "bacterial LSU rRNA". It matches the Rfam family "Bacterial large subunit ribosomal RNA", at positions 2098 to 2465 of the family's 2925-position model. The record is from RNAcentral.